GACGAACGCUGGCGGCGUGCUUAACACAUGCAAGUCGAACGGAAAGGCCCUGCUUUUGUGGGGUGCUCGAGUGGCGAACGGGUGAGUAACACGUGAGUAACCUGCCCUUGACUUUGGGAUAACUUCAGGAAACUGGGGCUAAUACCGGAUAGGAGCUCCUGCUGCAUGGUGGGGGUUGGAAAGUUUCGGCGGUUGGGGAUGGACUCGCGGCUUAUCAGCUUGUUGGUGGGGUAGUGGCUUACCAAGGCUUUGACGGGUAGCCGGCCUGAGAGGGUGACCGGCCACAUUGGGACUGAGAUACGGCCCAGACUCCUACGGGAGGCAGCAGUGGGGAAUAUUGCACAAUGGGCGGAAGCCUGAUGCAGCAACGCCGCGUGCGGGAUGACGGCCUUCGGGUUGUAAACCGCUUUCGCCUGUGACGAAGCGUGAGUGACGGUAAUGGGUAAAGAAGCACGAGCUAGCUACGUG
Molecule: ribosomal RNA, 468 nt
Filed under: uncultured bacterium
Lineage: Bacteria
Description: partial 16S ribosomal RNA
Rfam family: Bacterial small subunit ribosomal RNA
Source: RNAcentral